UGACCGGCUCCAAGGAUGGCUUGGGCUCAGGGUCAUUGAGAAGAGGCAGGGUGAAGGCCUCCUCAGACUCUGGGGUGGUAGCCUCAGGCAGACCCCCAGUCAAGUCCAGGGAGGUCACAGACAUCUCCUCUGGGAAGCCCAGGUCAUUGGGGAUCUUGCAGGCAGGUCGGUGGGCUGCCAAAAUAAACUCCAGUUUUUCCUUCUCUUUCAGUAGAUUGGCAAUCUCGGUCUGCAACGCAGACUUCUCGUCUUCAAGUUGAUCUGUCUCCUGCACAGAGAUGUAAGAAAGCAUAAGACACAGGUUUCCUCAAGGACCCUGACCCCAUAGUCCCAACCUCCAACUUUAAUAAAGUUUCAGGAGCAGCAGCUGGUUCAACCUACCGCUUGGAGCGUAUCUGUCAGCUCCCUCCUCCGAUUCCGGCACUUGGCUGCAGCCAUCUUAUUCCUUUCCCUUCGGAUUCUCCGUUUCUCUUCCUCUUCAGGAGAUAGCUAUAAGAAAAGGACCAACAUUCAAUAAGGUGG
RNAcentral lists this long non-coding RNA (522 nucleotides) under Rattus norvegicus (Norway rat). RNAcentral describes it as "long non-coding RNA NONRATT024485". Lineage: Eukaryota; Metazoa; Chordata; Mammalia; Rodentia; Muridae. The record is from RNAcentral.